This 241-nucleotide long non-coding RNA is filed under the name Elaeis guineensis (African oil palm). RNAcentral describes it as "long non-coding RNA (EGUI_LNC005891)". Lineage: Eukaryota; Viridiplantae; Streptophyta; Magnoliopsida; Arecales; Arecaceae. The record is from RNAcentral.
AGGAAUAGGUGAGCUUUGAUUGAAGGCUUCUUGAAGGCUUUGAAAGAGCUCUUGAUCAGGGUUGAAAAGUUGGCUUGAAAAACCCUCUCUUUGAAUGCUCUUGAAUGCCCUUUUGAAUGCUCUUACUUUUCUCUUUCAAAAUCUCUUGUAUCUCUCGUGUAUAUUGUAGAUCCCCUUUUGUUUUUCACCUUUUUAAACCUUUUAUAGCUUUAAGAAACAAGGAAAAAUAUUUUAGGCAGNN